RNAcentral lists this ribosomal RNA (1540 nucleotides) under Klebsiella pneumoniae. RNAcentral describes it as "bacterial SSU rRNA". It matches the Rfam family "Bacterial small subunit ribosomal RNA". The record is from RNAcentral. Lineage: Bacteria; Pseudomonadati; Pseudomonadota; Gammaproteobacteria; Enterobacterales; Enterobacteriaceae.
AAAUUGAAGAGUUUGAUCAUGGCUCAGAUUGAACGCUGGCGGCAGGCCUAACACAUGCAAGUCGAGCGGUAGCACAGAGAGCUUGCUCUCGGGUGACGAGCGGCGGACGGGUGAGUAAUGUCUGGGAAACUGCCUGAUGGAGGGGGAUAACUACUGGAAACGGUAGCUAAUACCGCAUAAUGUCGCAAGACCAAAGUGGGGGACCUUCGGGCCUCAUGCCAUCAGAUGUGCCCAGAUGGGAUUAGCUAGUAGGUGGGGUAAUGGCUCACCUAGGCGACGAUCCCUAGCUGGUCUGAGAGGAUGACCAGCCACACUGGAACUGAGACACGGUCCAGACUCCUACGGGAGGCAGCAGUGGGGAAUAUUGCACAAUGGGCGCAAGCCUGAUGCAGCCAUGCCGCGUGUGUGAAGAAGGCCUUCGGGUUGUAAAGCACUUUCAGCGGGGAGGAAGGCGGUGAGGUUAAUAACCUCAUCGAUUGACGUUACCCGCAGAAGAAGCACCGGCUAACUCCGUGCCAGCAGCCGCGGUAAUACGGAGGGUGCAAGCGUUAAUCGGAAUUACUGGGCGUAAAGCGCACGCAGGCGGUCUGUCAAGUCGGAUGUGAAAUCCCCGGGCUUAACCUGGGAACUGCAUUCGAAACUGGCAGGCUAGAGUCUUGUAGAGGGGGGUAGAAUUCCAGGUGUAGCGGUGAAAUGCGUAGAGAUCUGGAGGAAUACCGGUGGCGAAGGCGGCCCCCUGGACAAAGACUGACGCUCAGGUGCGAAAGCGUGGGGAGCAAACAGGAUUAGAUACCCUGGUAGUCCACGCCGUAAACGAUGUCGAUUUGGAGGUUGUGCCCUUGAGGCGUGGCUUCCGGAGCUAACGCGUUAAAUCGACCGCCUGGGGAGUACGGCCGCAAGGUUAAAACUCAAAUGAAUUGACGGGGGCCCGCACAAGCGGUGGAGCAUGUGGUUUAAUUCGAUGCAACGCGAAGAACCUUACCUGGUCUUGACAUCCACAGAACUUUCCAGAGAUGGAUUGGUGCCUUCGGGAACUGUGAGACAGGUGCUGCAUGGCUGUCGUCAGCUCGUGUUGUGAAAUGUUGGGUUAAGUCCCGCAACGAGCGCAACCCUUAUCCUUUGUUGCCAGCGGUUCGGCCGGGAACUCAAAGGAGACUGCCAGUGAUAAACUGGAGGAAGGUGGGGAUGACGUCAAGUCAUCAUGGCCCUUACGACCAGGGCUACACACGUGCUACAAUGGCAUAUACAAAGAGAAGCGACCUCGCGAGAGCAAGCGGACCUCAUAAAGUAUGUCGUAGUCCGGAUUGGAGUCUGCAACUCGACUCCAUGAAGUCGGAAUCGCUAGUAAUCGUAGAUCAGAAUGCUACGGUGAAUACGUUCCCGGGCCUUGUACACACCGCCCGUCACACCAUGGGAGUGGGUUGCAAAAGAAGUAGGUAGCUUAACCUUCGGGAGGGCGCUUACCACUUUGUGAUUCAUGACUGGGGUGAAGUCGUAACAAGGUAACCGUAGGGGAACCUGCGGUUGGAUCACCUCCUUA